GGUUGAAACAACCUUAACCUAUUCUCAAACUUUAAAUAUGUAAGAAGUCCUUGUUACUUAGUUGAACGUGGACAUUUGAAUGUAUCGUUACUAGUGGGCCAUUUUUGGUAAGCAGAACUGGCGAUGCGGGAUGAACCGAACGUGAGGUUAAGGUGCCGGACUGCACGCUCAUCAGACACCACAAAAGGUGUCAAUGCAUCUAGACAGCCGGACGGUGGCCAUGGAAGUCGGAAUCCGCUUAGGAGUGUGUAACAACUCACCGGCCGAAUGCAUUGGCCCUGAAAAUGGAUGGCGCUUAAGCGUGCGACCUAUACCUCGCCGUC
This 323-nucleotide ribosomal RNA is filed under the name Mycosphaerellaceae sp. L1775. RNAcentral describes it as "eukaryotic LSU rRNA". It matches the Rfam family "Eukaryotic large subunit ribosomal RNA", at positions 1034 to 1356 of the family's 3401-position model. The record is from RNAcentral. Lineage: Eukaryota; Fungi; Ascomycota; Dothideomycetes; Mycosphaerellales; Mycosphaerellaceae.